RNAcentral lists this ribosomal RNA (414 nucleotides) under Escherichia coli. RNAcentral describes it as "bacterial SSU rRNA". It matches the Rfam family "Bacterial small subunit ribosomal RNA", at positions 292 to 698 of the family's 1533-position model. Lineage: Bacteria; Pseudomonadati; Pseudomonadota; Gammaproteobacteria; Enterobacterales; Enterobacteriaceae. The record is from RNAcentral. RNAcentral also lists the same sequence under 1 other name.
CUGAGAGGAUGACCAGCCACACUGGAACUGAGACACGGUCCAGACUCCUACGGGAGGCAGCAGUGGGGAAUAUUGCACAAUGGGCGCAAGCCUGAUGCAGCCAUGCCGCGUGUAUGAAGAAGGCCUUCGGGUUGUAAAGUACUUUCAGCGGGGAGGAAGGGAGUAAAGUUAAUACCUUUGCUCAUUGACGUUACCCGCAGAAGAAGCACCGGCUAACUCCGUGCCAGCAGCCGCGGUAAUACGGAGGGUGCAAGCGUUAAUCGGAAUUACUGGGCGUAAAGCGCACGCAGGCGGUUUGUUAAGUCAGAUGUGAAAUCCCCGGGCUCAACCUGGGAACUGCAUCUGAUACUGGCAAGCUUGAGUCUCGUAGAGGGGGGUAGAAUUCCAGGUGUAGCGGUGAAAUGCGUAGAGAUC